UGAAAUCUCGGAGCUCAACUCCGAAACUGCGUCUGAAACUGCUAGUCUAGAAUAUCGGAGGGGGCAGGGGAAUUUCACGUGUAGGGGUAAAAUCCGUAGAGAUGUGAAGGAACACCGGAGGCGAAGGCGCCUGCCUGGACGAUACUUGACGCUGAGGCGCGAAAGCGUGGGGAGCAAACAGGAUUAGAUACCCUGGUAGUCCACGCCGUAAACGAUGAACACUAGUUAUUGGGGGUAUUGACUCCCUCAGUGACGCAGCUAACGCAUUAAG
RNAcentral lists this ribosomal RNA (271 nucleotides) under uncultured Peredibacter sp. Its description in RNAcentral is "partial 16S ribosomal RNA". It matches the Rfam family "Bacterial small subunit ribosomal RNA", at positions 595 to 864 of the family's 1533-position model. The record is from RNAcentral. Lineage: Bacteria; Pseudomonadati; Bdellovibrionota; Bacteriovoracia; Bacteriovoracales; Bacteriovoracaceae.